RNAcentral lists this ribosomal RNA (780 nucleotides) under Alteromonas alvinellae. RNAcentral's name for it is "bacterial SSU rRNA". It matches the Rfam family "Bacterial small subunit ribosomal RNA", at positions 55 to 832 of the family's 1533-position model. The record is from RNAcentral. Lineage: Bacteria; Pseudomonadati; Pseudomonadota; Gammaproteobacteria; Alteromonadales; Alteromonadaceae.
AUGCAAGUCGAACGGUAACAGGAUGUGCUUGCACAUCGCUGACGAGUGGCGGACGGGUGAGUAAUGCUUGGGAACUUGCCUUUGCGAGGGGGAUAACAGUUGGAAACGACUGCUAAUACCGCAUAAUGUCUACGGACCAAACGGGGCUUCGGCUCCGGCGCAAAGAGAGGCCCAAGUGAGAUUAGCUAGUUGGUAAGGUAACGGCUUACCAAGGCGACGAUCUCUAGCUGUUCUGAGAGGAAGAUCAGCCACACUGGGACUGAGACACGGCCCAGACUCCUACGGGAGGCAGCAGUGGGGAAUAUUGCACAAUGGGGGAAACCCUGAUGCAGCCAUGCCGCGUGUGUGAAGAAGGCCUUCGGGUUGUAAAGCACUUUCAGUUGUGAGGAAAAGUUAGUAGUUAAUACCUGCUAGCCGUGACGUUAACAACAGAAGAAGCACCGGCUAACUCCGUGCCAGCAGCCGCGGUAAUACGGAGGGUGCGAGCGUUAAUCGGAAUUACUGGGCGUAAAGCGCACGCAGGCGGUUUGUUAAGCUAGAUGUGAAAGCCCCGGGCUCAACCUGGGAUGGUCAUUUAGAACUGGCAGACUAGAGUCUUGGAGAGGGGAGUGGAAUUCCAGGUGUAGCGGUGAAAUGCGUAGAUAUCUGGAGGAACAUCAGUGGCGAAGGCGACUCCCUGGCCAAAGACUGACGCUCAUGUGCGAAAGUGUGGGUAGCGAACAGGAUUAGAUACCCUGGUAGUCCACACCGUAAACGCUGUCUACUAGCUGUGUGUGCCUU